This 1206-nucleotide long non-coding RNA is filed under the name Gallus gallus (chicken). RNAcentral's name for it is "lncRNA (ENSGALG00010006947.1)". Lineage: Eukaryota; Metazoa; Chordata; Aves; Galliformes; Phasianidae. The record is from RNAcentral.
UGUUUAUACCACGUGUUAAGAAUAUUUACAUGAGAGAACUGGAAGACUGAAUUCUUACGUAGGUGAGCAUUAGCAAUCACCUAAUGCCUAUCAGAAAUAUCUUAAAUUGACUUUAAAUGGCAAGUGGGUGGUAAAAUUUUUUGUUUAAAGUCAAGAUUUUACUUCAGAAGACACUGUAUUUUCUUCAGACUGUUCUCUAAUACCUGUUGGUAUUCUCAGAUAGCUGCAGUAUUCAGUUAUGAGCAAAAAGAUCUUUUAACGUGUGUGGGAUAAUUCUACAUGCUUUCUUAGAAGUUUUUGGUAUGUCGAGUAUUAUCCUAUACUAAGCCUGCAACUUUUAGGGCUGAAAAGGGUUCUGAGUCUAGAAUUGAAAGGUUCGGUCCCAGGCAUUAAACGUAUAAUGGGAAAUAAUUCAUCAGGAUGUAUUGCUUUGAUUCAAGGAAUGCUGGAGUGCGUGUGUAAUGUAAGCAUGGACGUUUAUGAAAACUGCCUCAAGUUACACAUGAACGUGGGAGCUUUACUGGAUCAAAGUCUGUGCAUUUGAUUGCAGAUAAUCAGGUUUUAAUAAGGUUCCUUCAGGUGGCUUCAAUUUGGACUUAAAAUUUCAUCGUCAGAAACAAUAACCUGAUGGCGGUUCACUGUAAAGGUCGUGCAAGCUCCAAUUCUCAGAGAGUUGCCACUCGGUGGGCACCUUUCGCAAACAGUAUAAUUAUUGCAAGUGGUCAUAUCUGUGGGGGAAAGGUCACUGGUACUUUGGUUAUUUAGCCAUAUUCAUUGAAACUAUAUAAAUUGUAUAGUUUGGAUAAUUUAUAAUAUUAAACUCUGUGAUUUUUUUAAUAUCACGUUGAAGGUUCAGCUGUACUCAUUUCUUUUACCGUUUAACACCGGUGGUAUGGACAGAAGACUCAGAGGGGGUGGUAGUGUUACUAUUUUCUUAAUUUAUUUGGUACUGUAUAACACCUUUCUGAUUAAAUGCAGCGUAUGCAUUUUGGGACUCUGUUAAUUUGUAAAAGCUGUUACAGGUUCAGCAAGAAAGGAAAUUUGUGCUUCCUUGUUGAAUGUUAAAUUAUUUUACUUUGCAUUUUAUAUGAGAGUACAAAUUAAAACUGAGCCAUCAAACUGCAAUAAAUCAACAGUAGUGUUUCAUUUUAAAAACUUUUUUGUACUGUACAUAGAUUUGUUCAAUAAAACGUUGUCUUUGUUGUU